Harpegnathos saltator (Jerdon's jumping ant) is the source of this 1434-nucleotide RNA transcript. RefSeq lists it as uncharacterized. The transcript is spliced from 3 exons. Lineage: Eukaryota; Metazoa; Arthropoda; Insecta; Hymenoptera; Formicidae. The record is from RefSeq and is a predicted model, not a curated record.
GUCUGUUUUUUAUCAUAAUUUUAUCACUACCGAUAGUUCGAAUAAGAUUAGUAUCGUCAGUGUGGUUACGUGUUUCUUUUUUUUAUAAAACCAAAAAUUCGCAUAGGGUGAAAUUUCACCCACGGCAGCCUUUAAGGGUUAAUCACACUCAAUCACCGCGAGGAUUUGUUAUUUUCGGCCAUCCGCGCUUCUCUUUGCCUACCUUUUUCUCCCGCCGACCGCACCGGCAGCUCACCCUUCGCCCCCCUCUCUCUCUCUCGCGCGCCAUUCCUGACGAACGAGCCGCGAGUUCGGUCCAUUUGGAAAAUGAAGCCCGGUCGAGCGCGCGCGAGCGAGCGCUCCGAGAGUCUACGUCAGGAGCAGAUGAAGAAGGAGCAGGAUCAUCGGGAGCAGGAGAUAUGGGAAGUGGCUCGCGAGGGGGCGGGCGCGGAAAUGUUAAUUCGCCGUCGUACGCGUGAUCGAUGCGCAAAUAUUUGAGAAAACACACGCGGCGUCAUUUAGGCUGUCGCUCGGCCAGGUUAGGUUAGGUUAGGUUAGCGAGCAGUUUUUCCUAAAUAUCGCGCGCUCAUCGCGUAGGUGCGAUCGAGGACGACCUGUCGUCCUGUGCGACUGCUUCCCACGUAGACGUCGUCGCAUAUCCUAUCUCGCGACAACGCAGGAGCGGCGACGAUAUUUCGGCGUCCGACAGGAAUUCGCUUGGCGAUCUUCGCGACGCUCAGCUAGGGAUAAGAAUCUUGCGGGUGGCAAGAAGCGCGAGAGAGUCUCGUGGAAAAGAAGGGCGAAGGAGGAGAAACAAGGACGGCGAGCUUUGUCUCGGGGAGCGAGACUCUGUCUUCCUCUCUUCUCGGCCGUCCUUUCCUCUCCUUCCUUCUUCCACUCCAUUUCCAGGUGUUUGUACGCGCGCGGCCCUUUUAUUGGAGACGAGAGACACUCGUAAACUGCCGGAACCGAGCACUGGCCAGGAAACGCGACCUCCGGCUGCGCCGGCCGGCUGAUCUCUCGCGGGAACUGCAGCCGUUUUCGAGGUUACUCGUACGUUCCGAGAGCAAACGCGCGGCCCGGUAUUUCCUCUCGCACGCUCCUCUAACCGCUUUUCUCACCACCCUUCUGUUUUAGGUGGACAUACUCGGCUGCUGGACGAAGUAGGUCUCCGGUUGCCCGGAAGCGAAGCGUCAUCGGGAGGCCGGCACAGCAGAGUGAUUUCCAAAGGAAGACGUUAUUCGUCAACAAUGGCUUGAUGUCUUACAAAGGAAGGACAUAAAAGUUGAUACAGCAAUGAUGUGUAGUAAUCAUUUUGAUGCUGAUUGUUUCGUAAUGGAGUGGACAAAACCUAGAUUGAAAAAUGUACCUGCCAAAGAAGUGAAACGAUUAAAAAAAGAAUUCCAUUCCAACAAAAAUGUUUAAUCUUGAAAAGAAAAAUAAGAUAAUACCAGA